AUAUCUCUCUGUACGGGAAGGAUGAGAAGCUUCGACCAAGGUUCGAUUCGAGCGCAGCGAGAAAGCGUUGCCGCAGGCAACGACCCGAAGGGCGAAGC
This 98-nucleotide small RNA is filed under the name Salmonella enterica. Its description in RNAcentral is "partial RtT sRNA". It matches the Rfam family "RtT RNA", at positions 1 to 97 of the family's 130-position model. Rfam says of the family: This family represents a bacterial cis-regulatory element known as RtT RNA. The record is from RNAcentral. Lineage: Bacteria; Pseudomonadati; Pseudomonadota; Gammaproteobacteria; Enterobacterales; Enterobacteriaceae. RNAcentral also lists the same sequence under 3 other names.